UGGGGAAUUUUGGACAAUGGGCGAAAGCCUGAUCCAGCAAUGCCGCGUGCAGGAUGAAGGCCUUCGGGUUGUAAACUGCUUUUGUACGGAACGAAAAAGCUUCUCCUAAUACGAGAGGCCCAUGACGGUACCGUAAGAAUAAGCACCGGCUAACUACGUGCCAGCAGCCGCGGUAAUACGUAGGGUGCGAGCGUUAAUCGGAAUUACUGGGCGUAAAGCGUGCGCAGGCGGUUAUGCAAGACAGAUGUGAAAUCCCCGGGCUCAACCUGGGAACUGCAUUUGUGACUGCAAGGCUAGAGUACGGUAGAGGGGAGUGGAAUUCCGCGUGUAGCAGUGAAAUGCGUAGAUAUGCGGAGGAACACCGAUGGCGAAGGCAGCUCCCUGGACCUGUACUGACGCUCAUGCACGAAAGCGUGGGGAGCAAACAGGAUUAGAUACCCUGGUAGUCCAAGCCCUAAACGAUGUCAACUGGUUGUUGGACGGCUUGCUGUUCAGUAACGAAGCUAACGCGUGAAGUUGACNGCCUGGGGAGUACGGCCGCAAGGUUG
Molecule: ribosomal RNA, 548 nt
Filed under: uncultured bacterium
Lineage: Bacteria
Description: bacterial SSU rRNA
Rfam family: Bacterial small subunit ribosomal RNA
Source: RNAcentral